This 462-nucleotide ribosomal RNA is filed under the name uncultured Allobrachymonas sp. RNAcentral describes it as "bacterial SSU rRNA". It matches the Rfam family "Bacterial small subunit ribosomal RNA", at positions 908 to 1382 of the family's 1533-position model. The record is from RNAcentral. Lineage: Bacteria; Pseudomonadati; Pseudomonadota; Betaproteobacteria; Burkholderiales; Comamonadaceae.
AAUUGACGGGACCGCACAAGCGGUGGAUGAUGUGGUUAAUUCGAUGCAACGCGAAAACCUUACCACCUUUGACAUGGCAGGAAUCCUAAGAGAUUUGGAGUGCUCGAAAGAGAACCUGCACACAGGUGCUGCAUGGCUGUCGUCAGCUCGUGUCGUGAGAUGUUGGGUUAAGUCCCGCAACGAGCGCAACCCUUGCCAUUAGUUGCUACGAAAGGGCACUCUAAUGGGACUGCCGGUGACAAACCGGAGGAAGUGGGGAUGACGUCAAGUCCUCAUGGCCCUUAUAGGUGGGGCUACACACGUCAUACAAUGGCCGGUACAGAGGGUAGCCAACCCGCGAGGGGGAGCCAAUCCCACAAAGCCGGUCGUAGUCCGGAUCGCAGUCUGCAACUCGACUGCGUGAAGUCGGAAUCGCUAGUAAUCGCGGAUCAGCAUGUCGCGGUGAAUACGUUCCCGGGUCUU